CUACGUGCCAGCAGCCGCGGUAAUACGUAGGUGGCAAGCGUUGUCCGGAAUUAUUGGGCGUAAAGCGCGCGCAGGCGGAUUGGUCAGUCUGUCUUAAAAGUUCGGGGCUUAACCCCGUGAUGGGAUGGAAACUGCCAAUCUAGAGUAUCGGAGAGGAAAGUGGAAUUCCUAGUGUAGCGGUGAAAUGCGUAGAUAUUAGGAAGAACACCAGUGGCGAAGGCGACUUUCUGGACGAAAACUGACGCUGAGGCGCGAAAGCCAGGGGAGCGAACGGGAUUAGAUACCCCGGUAGUCCUGGCCGUAAACGAUGGGUACUAGGUGUAGGAGGUAUCGACCCCUUCUGUGCCGGAGUUAACGCAAUAAGUACCCCGCCUGGGGAGUACGACCGCAAGGUUGAAACUCAAAGGAAUUGACGGGGGCCCGCACAAGCGGUGGAGUAUGUGGUUUAAUUCGACGCAACGCGAAGAACCUUACCAGGUC
RNAcentral lists this ribosomal RNA (480 nucleotides) under uncultured bacterium. RNAcentral describes it as "bacterial SSU rRNA". It matches the Rfam family "Bacterial small subunit ribosomal RNA", at positions 501 to 980 of the family's 1533-position model. The record is from RNAcentral.